RNAcentral lists this ribosomal RNA (434 nucleotides) under uncultured bacterium. Its description in RNAcentral is "partial 16S ribosomal RNA". It matches the Rfam family "Bacterial small subunit ribosomal RNA", at positions 28 to 507 of the family's 1533-position model. The record is from RNAcentral.
GACGAACGCUGGCGGCAUGCCUAACACAUGCAAGUCGAACGAACCGUUCGGGGUUAUGGGCGGACGGCGGAUGAACACGUGGUAACGUGCCUGUGAGUUCGGUAUAACUCAGGGUGAGUUGUGUUAAUGCCGAAGGUGCCCAUACGGGGAAAGAGUUAUCGCCUUUAGAUCGGGCUGCGUAUGAUUCGUUGGUUGGGUGAGGUAACGGCUCAUCAAGGCGACGAUGAGUAGCUGGGCUGAGAGGAUGAUCAGCCACAUUGGGACUGAGACACGGCCCAAACUCCUACGGGAGGCAGCAGUGGGGAAUCUUGCGCAAUGGGCGAAAGCCUGACGCAGCCAUGCCGCGUGAAUGAUGAAGGUCUUAGGAUUGUAAAAUUCUUUCACCGGGGACGAUAAUGACGGUACCCGGAGAAGAAGCCCCGGCUAACUUCGUG